UCAACCUUUAGAAGACCAGCAAAUGUUGUGAAGACGUGGAAGCCACUUGAAGUACCAUUUUUCUUGCUUGGUUCAAAAACGGACACAACCCCAUCCAUAUCUGCCGAGCUGGAGCUCAUGCAAGCAGGGCUGGGAAAGAGGGCGUUGUCUAUCACAUCUGACUUAACGCAUGCAGAGUUAUCCAGUUCACUAAGGACAACAUAUCCGAAGAUGAAUGAUCUUCAAGACAGAUGGCUUCUUUUCAAAGCAGCAGGCGGAAAUGGAAGGAGAAAACUGUCUGCAAUCGCAUUAGAGGCAGAGGGAUACACUGGUUCUGUCAUCAAAAGAGCCUCAGGUGGAGGAAAACAGCUGUUAUAUAUAUAGUGCCCCUCCAAGAUGAGUUCGAUUUAACACCACUACCAGCAGAUGCACCGGAAUUUUCUCAUAUGCCAACAGCAACAUGCAAACAAUGCAAGACAGUGAUGCCAUUGCAGAUGUUGGCUCUGCACAUUGACCACUGCAACAACACAUCAAACUCGGAAACUGAGGAGGCAGAUGUGGUGUUCCUGGAAGAAGCAACAUCUCCUAACCCAGUCCUAGGACCUUGUACAGACGCACCAUGGUCCAAUGAGCAACAUUGCUUUCAGCAGGCAGGUGAGGUCCAAUGUCCAAUAUGCACAAGAACAUUUCCAGUGUCAGACAUAGAACUACAUGCAAGCUUCUGCGGUGAAAGGUGACUGUGGGUCAACUUGCAUUAUGUAUCUUUGUUUAUAGGGUUGCUCGA
Long non-coding RNA from Gadus chalcogrammus (walleye pollock), 763 nucleotides. RefSeq lists it as uncharacterized. NCBI's taxonomy places the organism in Eukaryota, Metazoa, Chordata, Actinopteri, Gadiformes, Gadidae. The record is from RefSeq and is a predicted model, not a curated record. The transcript has 5 exons.